AUCAGAAUCUUCAUUCAGCACUGGUGGUAGACACGUGAGUCCUCAUCGAUCGAGACUUCAUCCUUCUACAUUAGAAGCAUUAGUAUGCACACAGAAUUGGUUGAUGACUGACAAAAAAGUAACAAUAAAUGAUGAAGAUGUUGAUGUUGAUCCAACAAUGGUAACUAGUUCAGUUUUCGUAAUUUAUCAAAAAAAAUUAUCAAUUUUUAUUAUUAAUAUUUUUCUUUGUUUUUUUUCGGGAGCCUUACGUUGUUGAUCUUGAUGAUUAGAAUAUAUGUUGUUUUAUUGUUAGUUUUUAUUAUUAAUGUACUUUGUUAUUAGUAAUAUGAAUGUAAUUGAUAUUUCAACUCAAAUUAUAAUUAGGAAAUUUGUUUAGAACUUUA
Molecule: long non-coding RNA, 383 nt
Organism: Cannabis sativa
Lineage: Eukaryota; Viridiplantae; Streptophyta; Magnoliopsida; Rosales; Cannabaceae
Exons: 2
Source: RefSeq, a predicted model, not a curated record